This 1831-nucleotide long non-coding RNA is filed under the name Linum usitatissimum (flax). RNAcentral describes it as "long non-coding RNA (LUSI_LNC008022)". Lineage: Eukaryota; Viridiplantae; Streptophyta; Magnoliopsida; Malpighiales; Linaceae. The record is from RNAcentral.
UACGCAAAAGCAGAGGGAGAAGAAGUUUAUAAAGAAGAUAGAAUAACAAUGACGAUGUUGGGCACAGUGGCUCUUUGGAUGGUGGGGACCGCCCUGUUUGUUGAAGUUUGCGUACUCGUUUGCAAGUGCAUUUACAAUUCUGAUCGUGCCGACGAGGAUGCCGGAGCAGGAGACGGCGGUGUUGAUGCAGAGGUGGUGGCCGGAACCAGAGGCGGCGCCACCGUUUUGGUGGUGCGUUAAGUUUUGUAAGUUGGGUUUUGUCUGUACGUCGCCGUUUUAUGCUAAUAUUGAUGGAAAUCUUACUUUACGGAGCUAUUUUGAAUGUUGAAUAAUUUUUAUAAGUUUUGAGAAUUGAGUUGUAUCUCUCUAAAAUAUAUUCGAUUAUCUAUCAAUUAUUAUAUUUCUACCUUGCUUUUCGACUGCUGUCCGCGAAAACCCUUGUUGAAAUUUCGAUCAUUUUAACCAACAAUCUUACGUCUCAUGAAAAUUUUACUCAUCUGUUUUCCAAAUCGUGUGAUUUGCACCACAUUGUUGCGUUCGUCGAUAUGUUAUUCCAUAUGAGAGUAUACGAUAGCUCGGAGUACUAAGCACCUACAACACUUAAUUCCAUUUUCUCCACUACCAAUAAUCAUUUCUAAAUACCAGUUAGUCUCCAAUCAACCUUCAAUAAUAUGGGACUAGUUGGUUGUUCGUACCAUUUGUGACAUUUUAGAUUACAUCUGCUUAAUCAAACACUAAAUUCAAUGAAACAUAUAGAGUUAAAAUACAUAGUUUAAAAUCAAUCCAUACCGAACAAAACCGAGUACAGAACCAUAUAUAAGAGUGUAGGAGCUAGGAAUUUUUGCAGCAUCAUGAACGAGUAGGAUAGUUCGUUGCAUUAGGCAGUCGAGGGAGAACAACUGGCGAACCGCCACACACCCUUUCUGGAAGAUACUUCUAAAUAACAUGAUGAACCACGUUAAGUGUGCUUUGAAUUAAACCGACCCUUUUUGAUCUUAGUGAAUACUAAAAUGGUAAAAUUCAAAAUAGAAACUUCUCGAUUAUUAAAAGUCUUUAAAACAACCAUUAUUAAAUUAUAGCUAAAUCAACAUCUAACCCAAUAAAUCAGUUAUCCGUAACCGUAACCGAACGAAUCCACCCGUGACCGGUUUAACAUAACCAUGCGGGUCUCACUCUCAAUUAACAUCCCAACAAACCAUUUGUUUCCCGACGAUCGAUUAGCAAAUUCUCCCUUGCAGCACGUCACCCGCGUCCACCUCCAUUUUCUGGAAAAAAAUCGAUUAAUGAACCAGAGCUCCAUAGCCAUUAAUCCAUUAUAUAGUAAUAUUAAUACUAUGAAUUGGUUUGUUCAUAUCAUCAUUACAAAUCUACGCAAAAGCAGAGGGAGAAGAAGUUUAUAAAGAAGAUAGAAUAACAAUGACGAUGUUGGGCACAGUGGCUCUUUGGAUGGUGGGGACCGCCCUGUUUGUUGAAGUUUGCGUACUCGUUUGCAAGUGCAUUUACAAUUCUGAUCGUGCCGACGAGGAUGCCGGAGCAGGAGACGGCGGUGUUGAUGCAGAGGUGGUGGCCGGAACCAGAGGCGGCGCCACCGUUUUGGUGGUGCGUUAAGUUUUGUAAGUUGGGUUUUGUCUGUACGUCGCCGUUUUAUGCUAAUAUUGAUGGAAAUCUUACUUUACGGAGCUAUUUUGAAUGUUGAAUAAUUUUUAUAAGUUUUGAGAAUUGAGUUGUAUCUCUCUAAAAUAUAUUCGAUUAUCUAUCAAUUAUUAUAUUUCUACCUUGCUUUUCGACUGCUGUCCGCGAAAACCCUUGUUGAAAUUUCGAUCAUUUUAAC